Molecule: long non-coding RNA, 540 nt
Filed under: Mytilus galloprovincialis (Mediterranean mussel)
Lineage: Eukaryota; Metazoa; Mollusca; Bivalvia; Mytilida; Mytilidae
Source: RNAcentral
AAUCCCAAUGACAGUAUUAUAUGGACAACUACACAUGAUUACAAACAAUAGCACCAAACAUUAGAGCUGUCUGGAAACUGGUCUCAGAGGUGUUUAGUUCUCAAAAUGUUCAAUUGUCAAUUAACCUUUAGAAUGGUACAAGUCCAGUAAUUCCCAUAAAAAUGUUGUGAUAAAAAUGAUAAUAUGAUAUAGUCAAAUAGACAAAAUGAAACACAAUAGUACCAAGUGUCAUAGAUUUGUGUCAAAUGUUCAGUGUCCCAUAACUCCUGUAAAAAAUUUAAUUGACAAUAUAUCAUGAUCAAAAGAAAUGACAAAUAACCCUACCAAGUAUAUAGGCUGUAAGUCAAAUGGUGUCUAAGUUUUGGUCUGUUUUUGGAGAGAAAUACAGGAGGACUGAUACAAUAACCAUAACCACCUCCACCUGACAUGUUUUGGACAAAAAAACUUACAUUAAUAUAUUAUUAAACAGCACAAAAACAAAACAAAGGAAGCUAAAUACAUACAUUCAUAAACUGUGUUUGGAAAUUAUACUUCUAGUAA